UUGUCAAGCUAUUUUCAAGACUGCUUAGAAAGUACGAGGUGGGAGGGUCUCAGUCUAGAUUAGGACUUGAUGGCCUUGUAGGCCCCAUCCAAUUUCACUUUUCUGUGAUUCUAUGAUUAUCUGACAACUCAAGGUUUUCAUCUUUCUCUCUCAAAACAAGGAGCUGAAUUGUAUCCCAAAUGGUUGAAGCAAAAAAUCCACAUACUAUGUGCACAUGAUCAAAGAGGACUGUGCUACUCAGCAGAUUUGAAACCAAUGUCAUUGAGAGUGCCUUGCAUUUCUUGGUGUGUCUGUUGAAACAGCCUUUUUUUCUGAGAACCAGAACACAAUCUGCUAUGAUGCAUUCUCAGUACCAUCAAUAUCCUUGUGUUGACUCCACCAGGAUGCCGAAUGGCAGAGGGAGGAGUGGGGAAAUACAGCAGCAGAGAAGAAAACUGCUCUCCUUGCAAAACAUUUUCAGAAUUCCCACAGCAGCUCACAACCAAACAACCAGCUUAUAAAAGAAGAACAAGCAUAGCUGAAAAUUGCAAGCAAGAUGAAGCCACAAUUGCAGGAAUGAGAACAGAAAUGGUGAAGACGGUAAAAAGCUUGGGGAACUGAGAAAGUCCUUGCCAGGUGCCAGCCCUGGACAAGACUCUGUGCUAGGAAAUAAUCCAUGAAGAGUGCAUGGCAUUAAAGGGGUACCUUACCUCAGGAAAUGGCGGCCCCAGAGUCAGUCUGAAAAGACACUUUGCUGCUUGAGGAAGAGCAGCCAGUGGCACCCCUUCUCCACAAGUCAUGGUACAUAGCUCUCCAAACCAGCUGAGUUAUUUUAGCACCCAAGGCAAUAAAAUCAUACACGCAACCCUUUCCA
Molecule: long non-coding RNA, 853 nt
Filed under: Pogona vitticeps (central bearded dragon)
Lineage: Eukaryota; Metazoa; Chordata; Lepidosauria; Squamata; Agamidae
Description: lncRNA (ENSPVIG00000009141.1)
Source: RNAcentral